Molecule: long non-coding RNA, 987 nt
Filed under: Carica papaya (papaya)
Lineage: Eukaryota; Viridiplantae; Streptophyta; Magnoliopsida; Brassicales; Caricaceae
Description: long non-coding RNA (CPAP_LNC009346)
Source: RNAcentral
ACGUUGUCUCAAAGUUAAUCCUGGCCACUGGAAGACGUCAUUCUGAAUAGAAAGAAGCCUUCUUCUCGUUCGUACAUACGACAGGGGAAGAAUAUGCUUCGAGGGCUCCGAAGAAGAAGAGAGAAUAGAGGGCGCUAUGAGAUGCAACUAGGGUUUAGAGGUCUGCAAUUUCGAGGAUCAAAGAAGCAUGAAGAUAGAUAUUGGCUCAGUAUCCGAAGAUGGCAUCAAAAUCCUGCAGGUGUUGGAGCUACUUUGACUAUUUCCUAGCUGUACGGUCUUUUACUAGGUAUACUUGGGAUUCCUUAUUAUCUUAUCAUUGUCUCCCCUUUUAGGAACCUUGUACUCAAGGUUCAUAUUGUAGAAUCUUCAUGCAGCUCUACCAAUCCCUUUAUUUUUUGGGUUAUCCCUUUAUCCAGGCUUCACAGGCCUAAUAUCUUCUUCUUCUUUGUUGUCGCUUUCUAGAAGCAAAAGUUAAGUUCAGCGGCAUCUGUGUCCAUUUGUAAACUUCUCAUUGCAGUUGAAGCAAAGUCGGUGCGCUUGUUGUCUCUGUAUUUUGUCCUACGAGUGUUGCUUAUUGGCGACAAAAGGAGUCGAGACGUUUUAUGACGUUGGAGCUGCUAAUGCUUGAGAUGGUUGGGUGGUUGCAACUUGCCUGAACUGGUUAGAUCGGCGUCAUUGAUUCAAUUGAUUUUAUCCCAUGCGGGUCAGGCUAAUCACUUCUUUUAAGGAUUUAGGUUGGAACAUCUUGAUCUCAUUUGCUAUUUUGAGCUUAUGCCCACUGCUAAAAGUCCCCACCAAAGCCUUUUACAUUUAUCCUCCUAGUCACUAUAACUCUUUUUAGUAUUCACGUAAUGGACUAGUCUGAUUUACUUUGGACAAGGCUUCAUCAAAGUCUUCACUCUCAGUUGGCCCAAACUUGCCCCAAACUUGGCCCAAAACUCCUCUUCAAAUACAAUCCAAAUAAUUUCUUUAUCUUUUUCCGUGCAG